Molecule: ribosomal RNA, 480 nt
Filed under: uncultured bacterium
Lineage: Bacteria
Description: SSU rRNA
Rfam family: Bacterial small subunit ribosomal RNA
Source: RNAcentral
AGGACGAACGCUGGCGGCGUGCCUAACACAUGCAAGUCGAACGCGCUCCAUUCGGUAGCAAUACUGAUGAAGAGCGAGUGGCGAACGGGUGAGUAGCACGUGAGCAACCUGCCCCGAAGACCGGGACAACACCGGGAAACCGGUGCUAAUACCGGAUAUCCCUAUCGGACCGCAUGAUCUGAUAAGGAAAUGGAUUCCGCUUCGGGAGGGGCUCGCGGCCUAUCAGCUAGUUGGUGAGGUAACAGCCCACCAAGGCAUCGACGGGUAGCUGGUCUGAGAGGACGAUCAGCCACACUGGGACUGAGACACGGCCCAGACUCCUACGGGAGGCAGCAGUGGGGAAUCUUGCGCAAUGGGCGAAAGCCUGACGCAGCAACGCCGCGUGGAGGACGAAGGCUUUCUGAGUUGUAAACUCCUUUCAGCAGGGACGAUAGUGACGGUACCUGCAGAAGAGCACCGGCAACUACGCGCCAGCAGCCG